ACAGAGGGUGCAAGCGUUAAUCGGAGUUACUGGGCGUAAAGGGCGCGUAGGCUGGUAUUUAAGUCAAUUGUGAAAUCCCUGGGCUUAACCUAGGAAUUGCAGUCGAUACUGAAUAUCUUGAGUAUGGUAGAGGAAGGUAGAAUUCUCGGUGUAGUGUUUAAAUACAUAGAUAUCGAGAAGAACACCGAUGGCGAGGGCGACUUUCUGGACCAGUUCUUACGCUGAAGCGCGAAAACGUGGGUAACAAAGAG
RNAcentral lists this ribosomal RNA (251 nucleotides) under uncultured prokaryote. RNAcentral's name for it is "partial 16S rRNA". It matches the Rfam family "Bacterial small subunit ribosomal RNA", at positions 525 to 775 of the family's 1533-position model. The record is from RNAcentral.